This 769-nucleotide long non-coding RNA is filed under the name Equus caballus (horse). RNAcentral describes it as "lncRNA (ENSECAG00000052842.1)". The record is from RNAcentral. Lineage: Eukaryota; Metazoa; Chordata; Mammalia; Perissodactyla; Equidae.
CUUGGGAGUAGGCAAAAUGGUAGCAGCUGGCAGCUUCUGCUUCAGAUAAAUAGAUCUCAGCAGUAACAACCUGAAUUUGCCUGUCUCUCCAGACUUCAGAUCUGCUUGUUUGCCCUGCAACCUCAGUUCUUUGAUGGAUCCAAGAAAAGGCCUUGAUUUUUGGCUUAAGAUUUUUCUUAUUGUAAGAAGAGGAGUGAUGACUUCUAAGCUGUUUACACUGAGGGCCUAAAACCAGAGAAGGCCUGCUAAGAUGGAAGCAGAAGAGAGCGAGCUAGCUCUCAGGGACUGGGGUGGAAAUGAGUGCUCUGCAAGACCUUCAGAGUGUUCAGCCUUCCAAAGUCUGUGAAUGCAUUCUAAGAGUGGUUGUGGCUUGGCUUCUUCCAUGGUAAUAUUUGUGACUUAUUCUUACCAACAAAAUGCAGUGGAAGUGAAGUUGCAUGAAGUCUGAAUCUAGGUCAUAGAAGACAGUUAGCUAGAACUCUGCUUUUUGCUGGUACAAUCACACCUGGAGUCCUCAGCUAUCUGUAAGAGUUCCAGCUACUCCAAAGCCAUAAUGCUAUGAAAAAGACAUGACAUGGAGAUAGGCAGCACACUGGUCAACUUUACAGUUGGGCUCCCAGCCAGCAACCUUGUGAAUGAGCCAUCUUCGACAUCAGCACAGUCAAACCUUCAGAUAACUGGAGUUCUGGCCAAAAACUGACUGAAACUGCAUGAGAAACUCGAAACAAGAACUACUCACAUGAGCUCUCCCAAGUCCCUGACCCACAAG